RNAcentral lists this ribosomal RNA (431 nucleotides) under uncultured bacterium. Its description in RNAcentral is "partial 16S ribosomal RNA". It matches the Rfam family "Bacterial small subunit ribosomal RNA", at positions 338 to 795 of the family's 1533-position model. The record is from RNAcentral.
CCUACGGGAGGCUGCAGUCGAGAAUCUUUCGCAAUGGGCGCAAGCCUGACGAAGCGACGCCGUGUGAGCGAAGAAGGCCUUCGGGUUGUAAAGCUCUUUCGCUAAGGAACUGGUACUUGGUAAAGAAGCACCGGCUAACUCCGUGCCAGCAGCUGCGGUAAUACGGAGGGUGCAAGCAUUGAUCGGAAUUACUGGGCGUAAAGGGCGCGCAGGCGGUCAGGAAAGUCAGAUGUGAAAUUCCGGGGCUCAACCCCGGAGCUGCAUUUGAAACUUCCUGACUAGAGUUCAGUUAGGGAAAACGGAAUUCCACGUGUAGCGGUGAAAUGCGUAGAUAUGUGGAAGAACACCGGUGGUGAAGACGGUUUUCUGGUGAUACUGACGCUGAGGCGCGAAAGCAAGGGGAGCAAACAGGAUUAGAUACCCGUGUAGUC